RNAcentral lists this unclassified non-coding RNA (310 nucleotides) under uncultured Chaetomium. RNAcentral's name for it is "sequence contains ITS1". The stretch from base 1 to 105 matches the Rfam family "5.8S ribosomal RNA", at positions 50 to 154 of the family's 154-position model. The record is from RNAcentral. Lineage: Eukaryota; Fungi; Ascomycota; Sordariomycetes; Sordariales; Chaetomiaceae.
GAAAUGCGAUAAGUAAUGUGAGUUGCAGAAUUCAGUGAGUCAUCGAAUCGUUGAACGCACAUUGCGCCCGCCAGUAUUCUGGCGUGCAUGCCUGUUCGAGCGUCAUUUCAACCAUCAAGCCCCCGGGCUUGUGUUGGGGACCCUGCGGCUGCCCGCAGGCCCUGAAAUGCAGUGGCGGGCUCGCCGUCCACACCCAACGUAGUAGCAUUACACCUCGCUCAGGACGUGCGGCGUGCUCCGGCCGUUAAACGCGACCUUGACGCAUACCAAGGUUGACCUCGUAUCAGGUAGGAAGACCCGCUGAACUUAA